RNAcentral lists this transfer RNA (63 nucleotides) under Deropeltis paulinoi. Its description in RNAcentral is "tRNA-Leu". Lineage: Eukaryota; Metazoa; Arthropoda; Insecta; Blattodea; Blattidae. The record is from RNAcentral.
ACUAUUUUGGCAGAUAAGUGCAAUUGAUUUAGAAUCUUUAAAUAUAGUUUUCUAUAAAUAGUA